This 859-nucleotide ribosomal RNA is filed under the name Lyomyces crustosus. Its description in RNAcentral is "partial large subunit ribosomal RNA". It matches the Rfam family "Eukaryotic large subunit ribosomal RNA", at positions 66 to 915 of the family's 3401-position model. Lineage: Eukaryota; Fungi; Basidiomycota; Agaricomycetes; Hymenochaetales; Schizoporaceae. The record is from RNAcentral.
UAACAAGGAUUCCCCUAGUAACUGCGAGUGAAGCGGGAAGAGCUCAAAUUUAAAAUCUGGCGGUUUCACGUCCGAGUUGUAAUCUGGAGAAGCAUUUUCCGCGUUGGACCGUGUACAAGUCUCUUGGAAUAGAGCGUCAUAGAGGGUGAGAAUCCCGUCCAUGACACGGACUACCAGUGCUUUGUGAUAUGCUCUCAAAGAGUCGAGUUGUUUGGGAAUGCAGCUCAAAAUGGGUGGUAAAUUCCAUCUAAAGCUAAAUAUUGGCGAGAGACCGAUAGCGAACAAGUACCGUGAGGGAAAGAUGAAAAGCACUUUGGAAAGAGAGUUAAACAGUACGUGAAAUUGUUGAAAGGGAAACGCUUGAAGUCAGUCGCGUUGUCCGGGACUCAGCCUUGCUAUUUGCUUGGUGUACUUCCUGGUUGACGGGUCAACAUCAAUUUUGGCUGGUGGAUAAAGGCUGAGAGAAGGUGGCAUCUUCGGAUGUGUUAUAGCUCUUGGUUGCAUACGCUGGCUGGGAUUGAGGUCUGCAGCACGCCUUUUUGGCCGGGGUUCGCCCACGUAACGUGCUUAGGAUGUUGGCAUAAUGGCUUUAAGCGACCCGUCUUGAAACACGGACCAAGGAGUCUAACAUGCCUGCGAGUAUUAGAGUGGAAAACUCUUGUGCGAAAUGAAAGUGAAAGUUGGGACUCUUUGCGGAGGCACCAACGCCCGGCCCUGAAGUUUACUGACGGUGCUGCGGUAGAGCAUGUAUGUUGGGACCCGAAAGAUGGUGAACUAUGCCUGAAUAGGGUGAAGCCAGGGGAAACUCUGGUGGAGGCUCGUAGCGAUUCUGACGUGCAAAUCGAUCGUCAAAUUUGGG